RNAcentral lists this ribosomal RNA (465 nucleotides) under uncultured bacterium. RNAcentral's name for it is "partial 16S ribosomal RNA". It matches the Rfam family "Bacterial small subunit ribosomal RNA", at positions 338 to 795 of the family's 1533-position model. The record is from RNAcentral.
CCUACGGGAGGCAGCAGUAGGGAAUCUUCCACAAUGGGCGAAAGCCUGAUGGAGCAACGCCACGUGGGUGAAGAAGGUCUUCGGAUCGUAAAACCCUGUUGUUAGAGAAGAAAGUGCGUGAGAGUAACUGUUCACGUUUCGACGGUAUCUAACCAGAUCGCCACGGCUAACUACGUGCCAGCAGCCCCGGUAAUACGUAGGUGGCAAGCGUUAUCCGGAUUUAUUGGGGGUAAAGGGAACGCAGGCGGUCUUUUAAGUCUGAUGUGAAAGCCUUCGGCUUAACCGGAGUAGUGCAUUGGAAACUGGGAGACUGGAGUGCAGAAGAGGAGAGUGGAACUCGAUGUGUAGCGGUGAAAUGCGUAGAUAUAUGGAAGAACACCAGUGGCGAAAGCGGCUCUCUGGUCUGUAACUGACGCUGAGGUUCGAAAGCGUGGGUAGCAAACAGGAUUAGAUACCCCAGUAGUC